AUUGAACGCUGGCGGCAGGCCUAACCCAUGCAAGUCGAGCGAGCGGCGGCCGGGUGAGUAAUGCCUGGGAAUUGCCCAGUCGAGGGGGAUAACAGUUGGAAACGACUGCUAAUACCGCAUAAGAUUGGAAAGGCCAGGUGGGAGUGGCUAGUUGGUGAGGUAAUGGCUACCCAAGGCGACGAUCCCUAGCUGGUCUGAGAGGAUGAUCAGCCACACUGGAACGGAGACACGGUCCAGACUCCUACGGGAGGCAGCAGGUGGGAAUAUUGCACAAUGGGGGAAACCCUGAUGCAGCCAUGCCGCGGGGGUGAAGAAGGCCUUCGGGUUGUAAAGCACUUUCAGCGAGGAGGCGUUACUCGCAGAAGAAGCACCGGCUAACUCCGUGCCAGCAGCCGCGGUAAUAC
This 404-nucleotide ribosomal RNA is filed under the name uncultured bacterium. RNAcentral describes it as "partial 16S ribosomal RNA". It matches the Rfam family "Bacterial small subunit ribosomal RNA", at positions 29 to 526 of the family's 1533-position model. The record is from RNAcentral.